This 6440-nucleotide long non-coding RNA is filed under the name Sorghum bicolor (sorghum). RNAcentral's name for it is "long non-coding RNA (SBIC_LNC013549)". The record is from RNAcentral. Lineage: Eukaryota; Viridiplantae; Streptophyta; Magnoliopsida; Poales; Poaceae.
GGACCAUUGGCAGAGACGGGUUGCCAUUGGAGCAGGUGUGUCAUCAGAUCUCUCCGCUCGCCUGGUUGCCCCUCCCUGCGCCACUCACCUUGGCUUUCGCAAUGGCCGUUCUAGGGGGCAGGUGGAGUCAGCGAUGAUCCCCGACGUCCAUGACGGAUGGGGCCCUUCUGCGCUUGGCCCCAUGGCAGACUCCGUUGUGUCGACGAAAGCUAGUCGGCAGUCUACCUUGGGGUAUACCCACGGUAGUAGUUUAUCGGUAGACGGUGCGCAAACUACGAACUCGAUGGUGACGCAAGACACGGACAAGCUUUUUAUCCAGGUUCGGCCGCCGAGUUGGCGUAAUACCUACGUCCUGCGUCUGGUUGUAUUGAUUUGUGUUGAGAGAAUCGUAUGUAUGAUGUGAUGACUUGUCCUCUAGGGGACCCCUGCCCCUCCUUAUAUAUCCUGAAGGGACAGAGUUACAAGCAAAGUAUCCUAUUUGGUACAAAAUCUUGUAGCCUUGCGGUGCACGCCGACCAGUCGUGCGCCGCACGCCUUCAUCUUGUGGGCCGAGCCACCUCUGACGGUGCGGCCCAUAUAGGCCCAUGAGGGUAUAGGGGUUUAUACCCCCACAGCUAGUCCCCGAGCACCAUGUAUUAUGAUGUAACACGCCGUCUUGAGCUUCUUCGAUUAGUGAGGCUUGACGUCUUCAAUAAGCAGAAAAGUCGCCCAAACAGUUGCAACGGUAUUUUGACCAACUCAAAAGACAGUUGAUCAACAUUGACAUCGAAGAAGCAGGUUGUUCGAAGAAUGCAUGGUGCUCUAAAAAAGAUUUUUUCCUGGUGAAGUGUGCCCACUUUACUUUUCUAAAAAGUAUAGACCUCAAAAAAGCAAGCAAAUUCACCGCUAGGUGAAGUGUGCCCACUUAGUCCCCGAGCCUGGUAGUAGGUGACGUAGGCACGUGGUGCCAGGGUCAAAAGAAAAUUCCCCAAAGUAGUUUUGAGACUGAGAUGCAUCGCUAGAUGCAUCGUACCGAUGUAGUCCCCGAGCUUGCUGGAAGGCGAAGUAUGAGCCUUGUAGCAAGGUCAAAAGUGAAUUUACCAGUCCCCGAGCAUGUCGUGCUCGUCUGCAAAUGAAAAGACCAAUCGACCAGUCCCCGAGCGUCGAGUGCUCGGUGGUCGGUGCAGUCCUUGAAGCUCCGAGCUAAUAGACUGGGCGACCAGUCCCCGAGCGUCGAGUGCUCGGUGGUCGGUGCAGUCCUUGAAGUUCCGAGCUGAUGGACUGGGCGACCAGUCCCCGAGCAUCAAUUGCUCUGUGGUCGGUGCAGUCCCCAAGUUCAUAAAUUGGUGAGCUGGUCGACCAGUCCCCGAGCGUAUAGUGCUCGGUGGUCGGCACAGUCCCCGAGCACGGCGUAGGGACCGGUGGACAAGUCCCCGAGCGUGGUUGGGAACGUAAACGUGCUCGGUGGUCGGCACAGUCUUCGAGCACAGCAUAGAGAGUAGUCGACAAGUCCCCGAGCGUGGUUGGGAACGUAAACGUGCUCGGUGGUCGGAGCAGUCCCCGGGCACAGCGUAGGGAAUAGUCGACGAGUCCCCGAGCGUAGCUUGUCGACUGGGCCAAACCCCUGAAAAAUAAAUAUAAAGAAUUGGUAGUACAUGAUGUAUAAAUAAACUUUAGACAAAAAUCAGUACUGAGAUAAGUUUUAGAUUUUUUGUUAUAAAAUUAGCACAAGUAGUUAAUUCAUCCUAGAGCUUGUACCAGCUCUGGUCUAGCCAACAAUCAGCAUGAGGUGCGGAACCUAGGCACGCGUAGGAUUGCCAGCCUCGCCAGAGAGCUACUGCCGACCACCCGGAACGCAGAGGGCGGAUCUCGUGCACGUGUAGGGAGGAGUCGGAGACAGUGCCGGCUCUGGAAAGCUCGUGUAGGAGAAAAAACUAGUCGGCUAAAAAAGUUGUUUUAAAGAAUAAUAAUAUUAAAAAUAUUAUGCCAAAAAUAAAUAAAAUAUUAGAAGUGUACUUAUCUUUGAAAGAAAGUCUAGUCGGUGACGACAAAAUUGUCCGGCCCUCGAGCUUUUCGACUUGUCAUGACGGUGGUCGCUGUUGUCAUAGCGUCGUUCUCCGCGACGAUUAUUAUUGCGACUGGUGGUCAGAGCAAGUAGGCUAAACAAUUUGGUCGAUGGCCCGAGCAGGUCGGUGUUGUCGAUCUGCCUCCCUUUGUAGCAGGGAAGCGUGCGACGCGUUGUCGGCGUGGUCGGAGACGUUGCUGGUGUGGUCGAAGCCGUAGCCAGCGUGGUUGGAGCUCCAUCCGACGUCGGUGAAGAAGUGAUCGACACAGAUUGGAUCUACGCCUCCUUCGUGGUCAUGGCGGUGAAGUUGUUGAAGCUGACGGUGAACGUGAAGUCGCCCGCCAUGGCCGCGAAGUCGGGGAUGAUGGCCAUCUUGUUCGUCGGGAGAGCUGUACGCACACCCCCUACCUGGCGCGCCACUGUCAACGAAAGCUGGUCGGCAGUCUACCUUGGGGUAUACCCACGGUAGUAGUUUAUCGGUAGACGGUGCGCAAACUACGAACUCGAUGGUGACGCAAGACACGGACAAGCUUUUUAUCCAGGUUCGGCCGCCGAGUUGGCGUAAUACCUACGUCCUGCGUCUGGUUGUAUUGAUUUGUGUUGAGAGAAUCGUAUGUAUGAUGUGAUGACUUGUCCUCUAGGGGACCCCUGCCCCUCCUUAUAUAUCCUGAAGGGACAGAGUUACAAGCAAAGUAUCCUAUUUGGUACAAAAUCUUGUAGCCUUGCGGUGCACGCCGACCAGUCGUGCGCCGCACGCCUUCAUCUUGUGGGCCGAGCCACCUCUGAUGGUGCGGCCCAUAUAGGCCCAUGAGGGUAUAGGGGUUUAUACCCCCACACGUUGCGGAUGGUUGGGGUGGGUGGUGGCAUGCUGAAUCGAGAUAGGAGGGCGGUAGGAGAGGAUAGGUCCUCGAGUGUGUCUACCUGCCUAGGGCCACGCUUCCCCUUCUCCAGACAGAUGCAUGGCGUCCAAGGAUGGCGCUUGUCGCGCAUCGUACCCGCGUGCUCUCGGUUAUGCCUCUGCAGCUGAUGGCGUUGUACCUAGUGAACACUGCAUGGCGGCCUUGCCAUCUCCUCUUGGAAAAUCACGGCCGGACCUCCUUGCUGGUGAGUCAUUCGUUCCCCUUUUCUACCCGACCAGUUGAGGCCCUCGCUCUCUAUCCUUGUGCCCAUUGCAGACACUUGACUCUCCUAUUUCUCUCUAAUCCUUAGGUCUAGACAGCCGAGCCCCAACAAUCCCACACGUAAGAUGCUCAGCUUGAUUUAUGUGCAUUCUUAUCUGCUGCCUCUUGUGUUGAUCUUGGCCAGGGGACUGGUUUCAUGUUUUGUGAUACCGUGUUGUAUGUUGUGCCUGUAGCUAACCUCCUCAAGAGAUGGCGUUGGUGACCUAAGCUCGUGGGGAUCAUACGUUCUUCCUUGGGUGCAUCGUCUUAGGAGGUUUGUAAUCUCUUCCUUGUCUAACAAUUCUAUAUAGGAGUCCUUUGUUGCUGUCCUUGGCCACCAGAUUGUUGUAGAGGACUUCAACUUUUGUGGGAAGAUGUUUUCUUUUGGGUCUCAUGGUUAGAGGUGUGAUUUAAGUAGGCUGCUGCCAGGUCUUUCUGCUGAAACAUGGAUUGAUUGGCCAUUGUAUACACUGCUCCAAUUUAUCCUUCCUGAAAUUAUGAUGUUCUUUGCCAGUGUAGUGGUGAGGCAUGCCCUCAGAGAUAAAAAUCCUUUGAUUCUAAUUAACACGUAAAGAUAACAUGGUUCUAGAGACUAAAGUUGACUCUAUGAUUCUUGGUGACCGCAUACAGAGUAAUAAUGUUGACACUGUUUUUGGACACGUAUCUUUUGACACGUACCUGGGGAUUAGUAAAGCAUAGAUCGGCGGAUGAAGCAACGGUAACUAGUCUGCAGGGAAGUUGCUAAUGAAGAGGCAGUUAAAUGUGACUAAGUCCAGAGGUGGUGACGUGUUCGUGCCGAUGCUCAGUGUUAGUGUUUGUCGAUGGCCACAACUGGAGGUCUGUCGAUGACUCUGAAGGAAAGCGUGGAGAUUGCCGAUUGAUCUGUGGCGGUGCCCCGGUCGGUUACAAGAGGGUAGUUUUAUAUUUUCCUUAGUUAUUAGAAUUCGUUUUGUGUACGGGUUCCGUUUAGUUUGGAAUUCGAGUCCUGGUCGUGUCUGGUUGUAGCUCUUCAGACAGGGUAUAAAUAUAGACCCUAAGGCAAUGUAGUGAGACAAUCUAUCAAUCAAUUAAACACAAGUUUUUACUCAUAUUCCAACAUCUACUUUUUCGACGACUUCGUCAUAUUUUCUUUUUAUUACGAGUUCUUAGGAAUUCGUCGACUUAAGCUCGGCGUGUUCUCAAGUUCCGCGUGAUCACCUCUUGGCCGUGACAUCCGGGCGCAUCGCUGUUGUCGGGACUAAAGUGAUCGAGUUACCACCUUUGUCGAUUGAAAGGUCAAAUCGGCUGGCACGCCUUAACGUUUAAAUCGGGUAUUAGCCCUUUGUGUUCGCAAAUCAGUUUUGCAUCAACAAAUAAUUACAUGGUUCUAAAUGGCAUGUUUGACGAAAUUGUGCAAAUUCCCUUUCCAUAGCAAAAUGGUUUGCUCCAUAUGUAAAUAUAUUUUGUCACAUAGUUUAAGAUUGUAUGGCUAUCAGGCUAGCUAGAGUUGGUUAGUUUACUUGCUUAGCUCUAAUAAUAAUUGAGGUGUCCGAAGAUGCUAUGCUUGGAUAUGUUCCAUCCCUUCGUCGCAGCAUAGUUGCCAUCAGUAAGAACAAUCAGAUGGUCACCUAAAGCUAAAUGCCAACAGAGGAAUUGUGUACAUAUUUUAGAGAUUGUCACUACUAUUUUCAGUAUUGUAGGUAUACGUGUAGAUAUCGGUUUCAAGUUUGUUUAAACCAGCUAGUUAUCUGAUAUUUUCUAGGAGAACAUGUGUGCUUCAUUAGCAUGCUCUGCUUAGUUGCUAUUUGCAUGAGACUUGCUACAUGUGUCUAUUUCUUUGGUUCCGAUCUGUACAUGUUGAAUGUUUCAGCAGAAAGUGCACGGACUGAAGGCACCUUUAAAUGGCUCUAAUUUCAUUUUGCAUAUGUAUGUCUUAAGAUGCUAAUAUUGUGUGUCUAUUUGUUUGAUUCUGAUUCGUACAUGUUGAAUGUUUCUGCAGAAAUGCAAGGCCUGAACGCACCUAUAAACUGCUCUGAUUUCAUUAUGCAUAUGUAUGGCUUGUUUUGCUUGAACUGGCUGUUCUUAAGAUGCUAAUAUGCGGUUACGGUUACUAUUCUUUUCAUGCCCUCUCCAUUCUUACUGAUCUAAUGUAUUUGGCGUAUGUGACUACACUAAUACUGUUCUUUUGGUGAUCUCUCCAUUAUCCAUCUUCUUUGCUUGUGUAAAAGAGGUACUUGUGCCUGGCCCAGACUUACUACAACAUCUACUCAUUGAGCUUAUGUAUCUUGUAGGGAAGGCUGCAGGCUCUAGUGCUGAUCCGCCGCUUUCCAGUGUGCAUUUGUGCCACGUUUCAACUGUAAGUCCGCUAUAUGUGGUCAUGAUGUUCGUAAUGUUUGUAGGGUUUUGCUGCUUGUGUGUUUUACUUCCUGUAAGUCCACCGUAUUAUUAAUAUAUAGUCUAACUUUUCCAAAAUAACAUUUAAUAUUCAGUUCUUGUCAAGUUGAAUUAACUGAUUCAUCUUCGUAAGGUUAUAUCUAAAAAUAUUAUAUUCAGACAAACAAAUCAUUUUCAUAUUUACAUGGCAUGUGGCACUUGCAAUAAGAAGAUUUUCUUUUUUGUUUAUGGUACAAACAUCAGCCUCAUUGUCUCUUGUAUUAACAAUGCAGCAACUCAAGAUAACUAAUUAGUGAAGGAAGGUCAAAGUGCUUUUGCUUCUACCAGUUGCAGUGAAGUGCUCUUUAGUGUGUAUCUGAAACCUCGCUCACAAUUGAUGUUCACCACUUUUUUAGUUUCUCUGUAGCUUUAUAAAUGUACUCUAAUGAUCAACCGUAUAUUUUGGAUCGGCAUUCUAAGCUACCAACCAUAGUGCUCGGUAGCUAUGAAUUCCGAUCUAAACUAUAAUGAAUCAGUAUGUAAUGUAUGGCCGCAUAGAACCAUAAUGGCUAUGGUAGCCAUGCAUGUAGUGAAGGAUCUUGUAACCUGUGGCUGAACAGAACCAUAAUGGCUGCGAUGGCCAUGCACCUUUGAGUGCUUCAUUUCAUCUAGAUUUCUCUUCUCCUGUGAAAAUGUUAGUUCAUGUUUUGUGCCUACCAAUUUUAGUGGAACAAGAGGCACCGUUUGAUGAAUUACUAGGAUGUGAUGGUUAUAUGUAUAGUGUAUGAUUCGCAGACCAGAUACAAUAGAGCUUGUAUAUUAUUGUGUUAAUUAGAUCUUAGUGUUGUUGUGUAAUUACAGAUCCAUAUCUAUUAAGCGUUGAA